UAUGUGAUCGUCUCUCGCAUAUCAAUAAGCGGAGGAAAAGAAACUAACAAGGAUUCCCCUAGUAACGGCGAGUGAAGCGGGAAGAGCUCAAAUUUGAAAUCUUAAAGGGUUUCCCUUUACGAAUUGUAGUUUAAAGAAGUGUUUUCUGUUGAGGUUUUGGUAAAAGUUCUUUGGAAUAGGACAUCAUAGAGGGUGAGAAUCCCGUAUUUGACCUUUACUUUCAACUUUGUGAUACACUUUCAAAGAGUCGGAUUGUUUGGGAAUGCAGUCCAAAAUGGGUGGUAAAUUUCAUCUAAAGCUAAAUAUUGGCGAGAGACCGAUAGCGAACAAGUACCGUGAGGGAAAGAUGAAAAGAACUUUGAAAAGAGAGUUAAACAGUACGUGAAAUUGUCAAAAGGGAAGCGUUUGACACCAGUGUUGUUUUUCUGAAAAUCAAUUAAAGAACUGUUUAUGCUAAGCUGUUUAGACUUUAUCAGCUAUCUGUUUAGUUUUGAGCUUUUCUUUAAUGCACUUUUCAGUUAACAAGUCAACAUCAAUUUCUUUUGCUGUAAAAAAGCUUGAGGAAGGUGGCUUGAGAUUCGUCUUAAGUGUUUAUAGCCUCUUGCCUAUGCAGUCGGAGAGAUUGAGGUCUGCAGCGUAGAUCCUUCGGGGCUAAAUGCAUUUGUGCUAAGUUAUAGCAUUUUAUAGACAACUUGUUGACUAUGAUUUGUCUUGUAGCUUACUCGCUUAUGUUAUUUUACCUACGCUUAGGAUGUUGAGCGCAUGUCUCUCUCU
This 774-nucleotide ribosomal RNA is filed under the name uncultured Neocallimastigales. Its description in RNAcentral is "partial large subunit ribosomal RNA". It matches the Rfam family "Eukaryotic large subunit ribosomal RNA", at positions 24 to 616 of the family's 3401-position model. The record is from RNAcentral. Lineage: Eukaryota; Fungi; Neocallimastigomycota; Neocallimastigomycetes; Neocallimastigales.